This 113-nucleotide non-coding RNA is filed under the name Clostridium sp. Its description in RNAcentral is "Glycine sequence". It matches the Rfam family "Glycine riboswitch aptamer". From Rfam's summary of the family: This family represents the bacterial glycine riboswitch. Glycine riboswitches usually consist of two metabolite-binding aptamers domains with similar structures in tandem. The aptamers cooperatively bind glycine to regulate the expression of downstream genes. The record is from RNAcentral. RNAcentral also lists the same sequence under 1 other name. Lineage: Bacteria; Bacillati; Bacillota; Clostridia; Eubacteriales; Clostridiaceae.
AUGAUGGAUUCGGGAGAGACUGUCCGGGGGCUGGAGUGAUGAUCCGGCAGUGACUUAGGGCAGCGCCGAAGGGGAAGCGGAGAACUCUCAGGCAAAAGGACCGGAUACCGGAC